GGAUGUGAGGGCAAUCUGGCUGCAACAUCUAUCACCCUAUUGAUCUCCAUGGUUGAUUCAACUGAUCUGGAUGGCUAGGCGGGUGCCCCCUUCCUCCCUUACCACUCCAUGUGCGUCCCUCCUGAAGCUGCGCACUUGGUGGAAGAGGAUGGCCUUCCCCAAAUACAGACGGACCAGUCUUCGGUCGAGGGUAUAAGAGUAGCUAUGCUCUCCUGCUAGAACCUCCAAACAAGUUCUCAAGAAAGACAAGCUACUUGCUCAUCCCAACUCAAAAAAUACAUACCACAAGUUUGCAUAUCUUG
Molecule: small nuclear RNA, 302 nt
Filed under: Erinaceus europaeus (western European hedgehog)
Lineage: Eukaryota; Metazoa; Chordata; Mammalia; Eulipotyphla; Erinaceidae
Description: 7SK RNA
Rfam family: 7SK RNA
About the family: 7SK was discovered as an abundant small nuclear RNA in the mid-70s but a possible function has only recently been suggested. Two independent studies have found that 7SK RNA binds the CDK9/cyclin T complex (known as elongation factor P-TEFb). P-TEFb activates transcription by phosphorylating the C-terminal domain of RNA polymerase II.
Source: Rfam by way of RNAcentral